This 499-nucleotide ribosomal RNA is filed under the name uncultured bacterium. Its description in RNAcentral is "bacterial SSU rRNA". It matches the Rfam family "Bacterial small subunit ribosomal RNA", at positions 28 to 533 of the family's 1533-position model. The record is from RNAcentral.
GACGAACGCUGGCGGCGCGCCUAACACGUGCAAGUCGAACGGGGUUAUAGGAACAGCUUGCUGGGAAUAUAACUUAGUGGCGGACGGGUGAGUAACACGUGAGCAACCUGCCUUUCAGAGGGGAAUAACGUUUGGAAACGAACGCUAAUACCGCAUAACAUUGGGAUAUGGCAUCAUGACCCAAUCAAAGAUUUAUCGCUGAAAGAUGGGCUCGCGCCCGAUUAGGUAGUUGGUGAGAUAAUAGCCCACCAAGCCGACGAUCGGUAGCCGGACUGAGAGGUUGAACGGCCACAUUGGGACUGAGACACGGCCCAGACUCCUACGGGAGGCAGCAGUGGGGGAUAUUGCACAAUGGGGGGAACCCUGAUGCAGCGACGCCGCGUGAGGGAAGACGGUUUUCGGAUUGUAAACCUCUGUCUUUAGGGACGAAACAAAUGACGGCACCUAAAGAGGAAGCCACGGCUAACUACGUGCCAGCAGCCGCGGUAAUACGUAGGUG